UUCUCUCUUUCUCGCUCUCUCUCUUCCUCUCCCUCUUUCUGACCCUCUCUCCUUUCUGCUCCAGAUGGUCUCAAGUACAGAGGACACCCGAGGAAGAGACUGCUUCCAGGACUAGCAUGUGUGCUAUCGUGUCUAGGAUAGGUCUGGAUGUGUUUAGACUUAUAUGCAUGGACGUGUUUACACAGCCCGUUCUCUUAUGGAAUAUGCCAGGAGGUGCCGAUUCUGCAUGUACCAGAUUACGUUUGGACCUGGUGAAAUGUGAAAGCUAUACCGCAAUCGUAUGUACCUACGGGGGAAGGAUGGCCAGCCACACAAGAGAGUGAUUUUUUCUAAGGAGGAGAAGGAGGCUGUGCUGAUCGAGAUGCAUGCUGGCCAUUUCGGGAUUGAAGUGCUUGAUUGCCAAAAUCAACCUCCGCUUCUUCUGACAUGGAUUUGUCAAGAAGGUGGACAGCUGGGCAUCUGAAAUAUCCUUUUGCUUAUCAAUCACAUUCUAUUAUAUAUGAAAUUAUUAUGAUUUCAAUGAAUGUCAUAUCAGACAAUGUUUCAAUUUGUGAUUAUCGGUCAGUACCCCGUCUAGCCUGCCAGAAGUUUGAGAGGGUGAAGACUGUGGCGUCGGAGUUGAAGCUCAUCAAAGUUGUUUCACCAUGGCACAUGAUCAGGAUGGACCUCAUCAAACCCUUCCCAAAAUCCAGGAAUGAAAACAGCUGGUGUCUGAGGGCGACCGAUCACUUUAUCAAAUGGGUGAAGGCAGUACCCAUUAAGGAUCUACGGGAUCGGUGUCCCUAUACUAGGACGGUUGUUGCUAACGUGCGCUAAUGUGACUAGAAUGACGUUGUAAGUAAACAGCAAAUUUUCCAGGACAUCGAAAGCUUAAAUGAUUGUUAAUCUAACUGCUCUGUCCAAUUUACAGUAGCUAUUACAGUGAAAUAAUACCAUGCUAUUGUUUGAGGAUGGUGCAAAACAACAACAACCACAAAUGUAUCACAACAACUGGUUUGAUACUUUCACAUCUGAAGGUACAUAAUGUUAUUUCAUUCAGUAAUCUUAUUCGGAUUUGUCAUCCCGAGGGUCCCAGACAUAAAGUGUAGGAUAGUUUUUGCUUCAUAAAAUCCAUUUUUAUAUUCAUGAUUUGAACCCCUGCUUUCUCUGGUCCCACACGCACCACGCCCGGCCAUCGAGAUGUGUGAAGGUUAGUGUUUUUCUCUGUAGGGAAGCUAAUGAUCCAUCAUGUGUACCAUUCCAGGGAGUACGUCAACUUAAUAUUUGUAUUACCAUAUAAUUUGUGUAUGUUCUCUGUUGUUAUGUACUUGAAAAUUUAUAAAUUCACCAAUUUGGCACAUUUGGGCAGACUUGCAAUACUUUACUGGAUCAGUCUGAAACUUUGCACACACACUGCUGCCAUUUGGUGGCAACAAUCUAAAUUGUGCCUAAAGUCCAAUAUGAUAUUAUGGCAUUUCUCUUGCAUUUCAAAAA
RNAcentral lists this long non-coding RNA (1473 nucleotides) under Oncorhynchus kisutch (coho salmon). Its description in RNAcentral is "lncRNA (ENSOKIG00005002636.1)". Lineage: Eukaryota; Metazoa; Chordata; Actinopteri; Salmoniformes; Salmonidae. The record is from RNAcentral.